GAUGAACGCUGGCGGCGUGCCUAAUACAUGCAAGUCGAGCGAACAGACGAGGAGCUUGCUCCUCUGACGUUAGCGGCGGACGGGUGAGUAACACGUGGAUAACCUACCUAUAAGACUGGGAUAACUUCGGGAAACCGGAGCUAAUACCGGAUAACAUGUUGAACCGCACGGUUCAACAGUGAAAGACGGUCUUGCUGUCACUUAUAGAUGGAUCCGCGCCGCAUUAGCUAGUUGGUAAGGUAACGGCUUACCAAGGCAACGAUGCGUAGCCGACCUGAGAGGGUGAUCGGCCACACUGGAACUGAGACACGGUCCAGACUCCUACGGGAGGCAGCAGUAGGGAAUCUUCCGCAAUGGGCGAAAGCCUGACGGAGCAACGCCGCGUGAGUGAAGAAGGUCUUCGGAUCGUAAAACUCUGUUAUUAGGGAAGAACAAAUGUGUAAGUAACUAUGCACGUCCUGACGGUACCUAAUCAGAAAGCCACGGCUAACUACGUG
RNAcentral lists this ribosomal RNA (497 nucleotides) under uncultured bacterium. Its description in RNAcentral is "partial 16S ribosomal RNA". It matches the Rfam family "Bacterial small subunit ribosomal RNA", at positions 28 to 507 of the family's 1533-position model. The record is from RNAcentral.